Molecule: unclassified non-coding RNA, 278 nt
Filed under: Hevea brasiliensis (rubber tree)
Lineage: Eukaryota; Viridiplantae; Streptophyta; Magnoliopsida; Malpighiales; Euphorbiaceae
Source: RNAcentral
CUAACCUUACAAAAUUGGCAGCACUAAGUUUCCGUUGGACCAUAAUAAUCAUUCCAUAAGUUUGUGUUUGUACAUGGACAAGUCAAUGAUGCCAAUCCUUAACAGGUACUUGUUUUAGGAAGUAUAGACCUUCAUUGACCUCGAGGUUGAAGAUGCAAUUGAUGAUGAUCAAUCUCUAAGCUUUGCUCCGAUCAGCGAGCACUGCUCCCAAGUUAAAACAAUUUAGAGAGAGAGAGAGAGAUCGCAGAGAAAGAAAGGAAUUUAGAGGGAGAGGGAGU